CACACCCAUGGUACAUGGAAGUUUCCAGGCCAGAAAUUGAAUCCAAGGCACAGUUGUGACCUACACUGCAGCUGCAGCAACUCCAAAUCCAACUGUGCCAGGCUGGGGAUUGAACCUGUACCUCCACAGUGACCCAAGCCGCUGCAGCUGGAUUCUUAACACACUGUGCCACAGCAGGAACUCCCGCAUUUGGAAAUGUCAGAGGAAACAUUAAAAUGCCAUCGUAUAAAUUUACAUUUUAAAUUUCAACUUAUACAAAACUGACUUGUAUAAAGAAUGAAACAUUUUUAGAAAAAUUGUUCCAUGAAAUUCAUUAACUCUACAUGCACUAAAAUUUUUAUUUCAAAAUAAUUUAUCAGAAAUGUAUCCCAAAUGUUGCCACAGCCUAUAAAAUACUCUAAGCAGCUCCAACAACUGCAUCAGCAGAAAGAUCCUUGUCAAAAUUUAAAAUUAUCAAAAAUUAUUUCUAAUCUUUAUUUCCCAAGAGCAACUAAUGUCUCUUUCAAUUGUAUAAUUGAAAAUAAAAUUGCUGGGAGCUUCUACCACGGUUGAGCGGGUUAAGAAUCUGACUAGUAUCCAUGAGGAUGGGGGUUCAAUCCCUGGCCUCACUCCAUGGGUUUAAGGAUACAGCAUUUCCAUGAGCUGCCAUGUAGGCUGCAGACACAGCUUAGAUCAGGCAUUGCUGUGGCUGCAGUGUAGGCCGGGAGCUGCAGCUCUGAUUCAAGCCCUAGCCUGGAAGCCUGGGAACUUCUAUGUGCUGCAGAUAUAGAAGCUCCCCCACACCAAAAAAAAAAAGAUAAAGAAAGAAAAAAUUGCUAAAGUAACAAAUCAGCAGAAACAAAUCCAACUAGGAACCAUGAGGUUGUGGGUUUGACCCCUGGCCUUGCUCAGUGGGUGAAAGAUCCGGCGUUGCUAUGAGCUAUGGUGUAGGUUGCAGAUGGAGCUCGGAUCUGGUAUUGCUAUGGUUCUGGCGUAGGCCGGCAGCUGUGGCUUCAAUUAGACCCCUAGCCUGGGAAUCUCCAUAUGCCGUGGGCGCAGCCCUAAAAAUAAAAUAAAAUAAAAUAAUUAUGGUACUAAAAAUAUUUUUUGCACUUUGUUCGUUGUAUUGUUACUUGUACAUCCCUAUCACCUCUGAUGUAUUUUAUAAGUCACAAAAUAUUUUUGAAGGAAAAGCUUUAUUGUAAUACUUUUAAUGGCAUUUGUCCCCUGCUUUUUUCAUUUUGCACUGGCUCAGGCCCCUCAAAUUAUAUAGCUUGCCCUGUUCACAAAAAAGGGUAUUUUUUAUGUUUCACCUGGUUAAGAGAACAGCUAUAUUUAUAGAUGUAAUCAAGUCCCUUAAAGCUGUUACAUGGGAGAAGGGGAAAGUUAUGACUCUUAAAAAUGUUCAGCGAAUUCUGCAAGCCCAGCAUUAUAGAAGAUCUUAGUUGGGUGAGGUAGCGGUAUUCACCUUAAAGCUGAAUAAUUCCCUUGCAUUGAUAGCAAAACUGAGGCACCAAACUGUGAUUGUUUCAAGCUCAUAAGUAAUUUAGAGGCAGACUUGGGACUAAAUCUCAAGUCUCUCAAAUCUACCUGGUACCAGUUCCACCACCAGUUCUUUCUGAUUGAUUUAGAAAGUCAGAAAGAGCCCUAGGUAUUUCAAACAGAAUAAUGUGAGUGAUGACCACCAAGGAAGGCCCAUUCAAAGGGGAGGGUGCAAUGGAAGGAAAUACAGCUAUUGCUGAAAGAGAUACUCUGCCUUCUCCUUUCCU
RNAcentral lists this long non-coding RNA (1748 nucleotides) under Sus scrofa (pig). RNAcentral describes it as "lncRNA (ENSSSCG00000060008.1, ENSSSCG00090005503.1, ENSSSCG00110013237.1)". Lineage: Eukaryota; Metazoa; Chordata; Mammalia; Artiodactyla; Suidae. The record is from RNAcentral.